Molecule: transfer RNA, 73 nt
Filed under: Felis catus (domestic cat)
Lineage: Eukaryota; Metazoa; Chordata; Mammalia; Carnivora; Felidae
Also listed under: 3 other names
Rfam family: tRNA
About the family: Transfer RNA (tRNA) molecules are approximately 80 nucleotides in length. Their secondary structure includes four short double-helical elements and three loops (D, anti-codon, and T loops).
Source: Rfam by way of RNAcentral
GCCUGGCUGGCUCAGUCAGUAGAGCAUGUGACUCUUGAUCUCGGGGUUGUGAGUUCAAGCCCCACGUUGGGCA